Molecule: transfer RNA, 72 nt
Filed under: Enterococcus faecium
Lineage: Bacteria; Bacillati; Bacillota; Bacilli; Lactobacillales; Enterococcaceae
Also listed under: 11 other names
Description: tRNA-Ile
Rfam family: tRNA
About the family: Transfer RNA (tRNA) molecules are approximately 80 nucleotides in length. Their secondary structure includes four short double-helical elements and three loops (D, anti-codon, and T loops).
Source: RNAcentral
GUACUUAGCUCAGUUGGUCAGAGCAAACGGCUCAUAACCGUCCGGUCGUAGGUUCGAGUCCUAAAGGGUACC